UGCCAGCCGCCGCGGUAAUACGGAGGGGGGUAGCGUUGUUCGGAAUUACUGGGCGUAAAGCGCACGUAGGCGGAUUAGAAAGUUAGAGGUGAAAUCCCAGGGCUCAACCCUGGAACUGCCUUUAAAACUCCUAGGCUUGAGUUCGAGAGAGGUGAGUGGAAUUCCAAGUGUAGAGGUGACAUUCGUAGAUAUUAGGGAGAACAUCAGUGGCGAAGGCGACUCACUGGUCCGAUACUGACGCUGAGGUGCGAAAGCGUGGGGAGCAAACAGGAUUAGAUA
This 279-nucleotide ribosomal RNA is filed under the name uncultured bacterium. Its description in RNAcentral is "partial 16S ribosomal RNA". It matches the Rfam family "Bacterial small subunit ribosomal RNA", at positions 506 to 784 of the family's 1533-position model. The record is from RNAcentral.